GACGAACGCUGGCGGCGUGCUUAACACAUGCAAGUCGAACGGAAAGGCCCUGCUUUUGUGGGGUGCUCGAGCGGCGAACGGGUGAGUAACACGUGAGUAACCUGCCCUUGACUUUGGGAUAACUUCAGGAAACUGGGGCUAAUACCGGAUAGGAGCUCCUGCUGCAUGGUGGGGGUUGGAAAGUUUCGGCGGUUGGGGAUGGACUCGCGGCUUAUCAGCUUGUUGGUGGGGUAGUGGCUUACCAAGGCUUUGACGGGUAGCCGGCCUGAGAGGGUGACCGGCCACAUUGGGACUGAGAUACGGACCAGACUCCUACGGGAGGCAGCAGUGGGGAAUAUUGCACAGUGGGCGGAAGCCUGAUGCAGCAACGCCGCGUGCGGGAUGACGGCCUUCGGGUUGUAAACCGCUUUCGCCUGUGACGAAGCGUGAGUGACGGUAAUGGGUAAAGAAGCACCGGCUAACUACGUG
Molecule: ribosomal RNA, 468 nt
Filed under: uncultured bacterium
Lineage: Bacteria
Description: partial 16S ribosomal RNA
Rfam family: Bacterial small subunit ribosomal RNA
Source: RNAcentral